This 497-nucleotide ribosomal RNA is filed under the name uncultured bacterium. RNAcentral's name for it is "partial 16S ribosomal RNA". It matches the Rfam family "Bacterial small subunit ribosomal RNA", at positions 28 to 507 of the family's 1533-position model. The record is from RNAcentral.
GAUGAACGCUGGCGGCGUGCCUAAUACAUGCAAGUCGAGCGAACGGACGAGAAGCUUGCUUCUCUGAUGUUAGCGGCGGACGGGUGAGUAACACGUGGAUAACCUACCUAUAAGACUGGGAUAACUUCGGGAAACCGGAGCUAAUACCGGAUAAUAUUUUGAACCGCAUGGUUCAAAAGUGAAAGACGGUCUUGCUGUCACUUAUAGAUGGAUCCGCGCUGCAUUAGCUAGUUGGUAAGGUAACGGCUUACCAAGGCAACGAUGCAUAGCCGACCUGAGAGGGUGAUCAGCCACACUGGAACUGAGACACGGUCCAGACUCCUACGGGAGGCAGCAGUAGGGAAUCUUCCGCAAUGGGCGAAAGCCUGACGGAGCAACGCCGCGUGAGUGAUGAAGGUCUUCGGGUCGUAAAACUCUGUUAUUAGGGAAGAACAUAUGUGUAAGUAACUGUGCACAUCUUGACGGUACCUAAUCAGAAAGCCACGGCUAACUACGUG